CAAGAAUUUCAUAGUGGCUAUAGGAACCCAGAAAAAGAGUUUGAUUUUGUCGGCCAGUGUUACCGCUGCCCUCUUUCGUCCUUCUGAACAAACCUCUCCAUCCGUGAAUCGAAUUGGCGAAAAUUCUCACCAUGUUCCAGAAGCAUGGCCGCCAUGUUGGUUCCUCGCAACGUCGUCCUCAGCUAUCGGCAAUCAUUGGGUUCAUGCUCGGCGCAAUUAUGCUCGUAGGUCGCUUUCCUCGGUCUCCCGCGAUUGCUGUCAGCGGUCCCCUUCGAACAAUAAAUGUUUUAUCUGUUCGA
This is a non-coding RNA of Megalopta genalis, 299 nucleotides long. Lineage: Eukaryota; Metazoa; Arthropoda; Insecta; Hymenoptera; Halictidae. The record is from RefSeq and is a predicted model, not a curated record.